UGUUGGUUCUCCCGCAACGCUAACUUGUUAACUUGGUCAGGUCCGGAAGGAAGCAGCCAUAGCAGGGGUCGUGUGUGCCGGGAU
This 84-nucleotide signal recognition particle RNA is filed under the name Providencia sp. Its description in RNAcentral is "partial signal recognition particle sRNA small type". It matches the Rfam family "Bacterial small signal recognition particle RNA", at positions 1 to 84 of the family's 97-position model. From Rfam's summary of the family: The signal recognition particle (SRP) is a universally conserved ribonucleoprotein involved in the co-translational targeting of proteins to membranes. Lineage: Bacteria; Pseudomonadati; Pseudomonadota; Gammaproteobacteria; Enterobacterales; Morganellaceae. The record is from RNAcentral.